CAACUACUCACUCCGUCCGAAAAUAUUUGUCAUCAAAAUGGAUUAAAAAAAUGUAUCUAGAACUGAAUUUGUCUAGAUACAUCAUCUUUUAUCCAUUUUGAUGACAAAUAUUUCCAGACGGAGGGAGUAUAAG
Non-coding RNA from Triticum urartu, 133 nucleotides. Lineage: Eukaryota; Viridiplantae; Streptophyta; Magnoliopsida; Poales; Poaceae. The record is from Rfam.